This 21-nucleotide non-coding RNA is filed under the name Caenorhabditis elegans. Lineage: Eukaryota; Metazoa; Nematoda; Chromadorea; Rhabditida; Rhabditidae. The record is from RNAcentral.
UGUUCAGCUUGUUAACUGUGA